UGCUUCAGACUUCAGAUCCUGGGUCUCUGAUGAGUGCUUUUGUACUGGAGGUGCUUAUUUUUUUUCUGGUUAAUUUGGUUUUAAAAUAAACCGUUUUCUGGUAUGUGGAAAUAGAAUACAAUAUGUAUUCAAUAUUUUUGGCCCAAAUUAGCUGGAAUUGUUUUGUGAUGCUUCUGGCUAUACACAAAACAAACCCCAAAACCACAAACAAACAAAUAAAAACAACAACAAUUAAAAGGUAGUGCUUUUGUAAAAUCCAGCCUUUUUCUUUUUUAAAUUAACUCUAGCCAGCUAAUAAAAUCCAAACUGUGUGGCUAUGCAAAUCUACUUCAAAUAAGUAUGUGUCCCCUGUUUCUAAAAUGUAUAUAAAGAUGUAUAUGGGAGUUUCUAUUUCUAGGAUUCAUUUUAAAAAUAGAUGGGAUUAUCUCUGAAAAAUAUUUUGCCUUUGUUGCAAUGCUGGCAUUCCCUAAGUUUUGUGAGCUGCCUAUUGUAUAGGGGAAUUAUGUGAUAUGGGCCAUUUAAAUGAAUUGGUAAUAUCUCUGUAAUCUCUACAGGUUUACAUGAAGCCUGGCGAGGAACAAUAUUGCCAAAAUCUAACAAAAAUAUAUUUAGACAAGUUGCGUCACACUGGCUAUGCUAAGAUACAAGACUGUUGGAUUCCUGAUACCUAAAAGACUCUAUGAUGAGGAUCUUUCAAGUUUACAGACUUCAGGAAAAUACAAGCCCAGUUUUUCCAAGCUUCUCAGUUUCUUACAUCAUCAUAUGGGAAGCUGCAUUGGUCAUAGCGUUCAAGAGCCCUGCAAGGACCCAGCACGAUGAAAACAGGUCCAUCUUGUUGGCUUUUGUCAGGUAAAAACUGUACAAAGCUUGUCUCUUAUAGUGCUUUUAGCCUGUCAGUGACCAUAUUACUUCCAUGCACAAAGCAGUUUGUGCCUCUUUAGGUGCAGAGGUCAUUUUGCACACUGGGUGUAGCUCCUAAAAUGAGCCAGAGAAGAGGGGAUAUGAGCAUGGGGGAACCGCUUCAGGAACUGUAAGGGAACCACUCCCAGCUAGUUAAAAAAUUAUUUCCAUGUGAGCUAAUACAAUUCCUAAAUCUCUUAGUGGAAACAGAGUUCAGUAUUAUCUAGCUACAUCUGGAAAGGCUCUUAGAGUAAAAUUUUUAUAACAUGGUUAUUCUAGAAGAAAAGUGGAAGCUCUGUUAACUUUCAGUCUAGCUCCCUGAAUGCUCUCACAGCUCUCAGGGUACUUUCCCAGCUCUACUAGCACCUGAAUGAUAGGAACAAAUAUUUAGAUCCAGUUGAACACACCUUGCAGUUUUUAAUGAGUUUUCUGAGUAGCCAUAGUGAACAUGUUUCUCUCAUGGACAGAUGGUGUUUAUGUGAAGGUGUUAUGUGCAUGUGUUGGGCUAAAUGUGCCUUACAGAGAGCAUCAGAGUUCUGAAUGCCCACACUCUUCAUAUAAAAGCCUUUCUCAGGUUGCUUAUGAUUUCACAGCAAUACAGCUUGAGCUAGCACUGAAGAGUUUAUGAACACCUGAUGAACAGGGCAAAGAAAAUGCUGUAUCUGUGUCAAAGUGGGGGUGCAUGCAUGUGUGUACACAUUUUGUUCAGCACAGCCACAGUUUAGUGGAGGGAGCUGAGCACAAUCAGCUGUCAGUGAUAUCACUGACCACCAUAAAAAUUGUUUAAGACCAUGCAACUUCUCCAACUCUCCUCUUGAUUUUCUUAUAUAGCAACAUCUGAAAGGAGGUGUCAGGUGGGGAAGAAUGGGAGGGAUUUUCAGUUGUCAGAAAUACUAUUAAUUUUAGAAUUAUCAGGCAAAUUAUGACCUGGUGUUUCUUUUAUUUUUUUUUCUUACCUUCCUGAAGGAACUUCAGGCAGUCUAAGUGAGAUUUAUUCUGGGCAUAGUUACCCUUAUUCAAUCUAGUCCAGACAUGUACCUUUUUCUCCAAGUCUCUUCAUUCAGUCCCUCUGUAGGUCUCCACAUACUGUGGAAUUUUCCAGUGCAGACAGGGCUGUUGUUUUGAAUGUAAAAUAGUCUGGGAAAAACACACCCCAUUUUCAGUGGCUUCUCUCCAUGAUGAAUAAAUCUAUAGAGGAUAACA
Cyanistes caeruleus (blue tit) is the source of this 2103-nucleotide long non-coding RNA. The record is from Ensembl. NCBI's taxonomy places the organism in Eukaryota, Metazoa, Chordata, Aves, Passeriformes, Paridae.